Aegilops tauschii subsp. strangulata is the source of this 598-nucleotide non-coding RNA. The record is from RefSeq and is a predicted model, not a curated record. Lineage: Eukaryota; Viridiplantae; Streptophyta; Magnoliopsida; Poales; Poaceae.
GCUCCGGUGCUCCCCCCUAACUCAAUUUCCUAGGGGUAUUCUUGACCCCCGCCAUCUAUUUUUUCUCCGGCCCGCCGCUGCCCAUAUCCAAGCCCCGUAGCCCAUAUCCAAGCCCCGUAUAACCCGUAUGACCCAUACGUAUGUAUACGGUGACAUCCCGAAAAAAAAGGAUGACACGACCCCACGACGGCCGAUCCAUCAAUCACGCAGCUCAAUCAAUCACGCAGCUCCUCCAUCAUUCUGGUGAGUUUCUGUAGGAAUAUCGGCGGCAGCGAUCUUAUCGCCGGCGAUCUCGUCCGAGAGCGCGCGCGGCACCGUCGUCAACCUCCAGCGCUCGCAGGAAAUGGCGGACGAUGAGUUAACUGAUAUGAUGUAUGACAUGGAGUUUGGAGAACUGAUGAAAGACUGGAUAGAAGAUUGGUCAGAUGAUGAAAAUUCAGAUCGUGGAGAUAGGUCAGAGAAUGGGAACGUAUUGGAAGAUCUUAAUGAAAACAAUGAGCAUGAUGAUGGUGAGGAAAACAACUCGGAGAUCUCGAAUGAAGAUUACAUUAGUCAGCUCAUUUCCGAAUGUCAUAAUGCGUACGACUAUUACGGUGAA